Molecule: ribosomal RNA, 429 nt
Filed under: uncultured Pelotomaculum sp.
Lineage: Bacteria; Bacillati; Bacillota; Clostridia; Eubacteriales; Desulfotomaculaceae
Description: bacterial SSU rRNA
Rfam family: Bacterial small subunit ribosomal RNA
Source: RNAcentral
CGAAGCAACGCGAAGAACCUUACCAGGUCUUGACAUCCUUUUGAAUGGUCUAGAGAUAGAUCAGGCCUUCGGGACAGAAGAGACAGGUGGUGCAUGGUUGUCGUCAGCUCGUGUCGUGAGAUGUUGGGUUAAGUCCCGCAACGAGCGCAACCCCUACGUUUAGUUGCUAACGCGUGAAGGCGAGCACUCUAGACGAACUGCCGUUGACAAAACGGAGGAAGUGGGAUGACGUCAAAUCAUCAUGCCCCUUAUGUUCUGGGCUACACACGUGCUACAAUGGCCGGUACAGACGGACGCAAAGCCGCGAGGUGGAGCAAAUCCUAAAAAGCCGGUCUCAGUUCGGAUUGCAGGCUGCAAUUCGCCUGCAUGAAGUCGGAAUCGCUAGUAAUCGCAGGUCAGCAUACUGCGGUGAAUACGUUCCCGGGCCUU